UACGUAGGGUGCAAGCGUUAAUCGGAAUUACUGGGCGUAAAGCGUGCGCAGGCGGUUCGCUAAGACAGAUGUGAAAUCCCCGGGCUUAACCUGGGAACUGCAUUUGUGACUGGCGGGCUAGAGUAUGGCAGAGGGGGGUAGAAUUCCACGUGUAGCAGUGAAAUGCGUAGAGAUGUGGAGGAAUACCGAUGGCGAAGGCAGGUCUCUGGGCUGACACUGACGCUCAUGCACGAAAGCGUGGGGAGCAAACAGG
RNAcentral lists this ribosomal RNA (253 nucleotides) under uncultured bacterium. RNAcentral describes it as "partial 16S ribosomal RNA". It matches the Rfam family "Bacterial small subunit ribosomal RNA", at positions 524 to 776 of the family's 1533-position model. The record is from RNAcentral.